GCCCCAUGGACAGUGGCAUUAGUGCUUUCACACUUCCCAGUCUUGUUCGCUAUGUAUUUGCGUAUUGCUGCUGUCCUCGGCCUGCUCUCUGUGAGCACUGCAGGUCCCUUACCAUGCGAGGAUGUGGUCCGGCCCCUGGUCCUGGAGGAUUUCAGUUCGAUAUUAGGAAAAUGGAUUGUCAUUGAAGCAACUGUGGAUUCCCAGAAAUAUGCUGCAUUAUUGAAAACAGUGAACAGCGCUUGGGUGGAGAUUCUGCCUACUUAUCACAACAACACAGCCAUCUUCAAUAAGGCAAACAUGAUAAAUGGAGUAUGUUCUUAUUCACCAACAAAUAUUUCAAUUUCAGACAGCGUUGUCCAAUUCACCAUGGAAGGAAAUAUGACUGGCAACAGCACUGCUACCUUCCUGCGAACCUGCGCUGAUUGUCUUGUCAUGAAAGGGACCUCAUUCCUUGAAGGUCACAUCGUCAGAACACUCCACAUAUUCGGAAGAACAGGAAAACUGAGCGAUUUUGAUCAGAAAACAUACAGGAGACAAGUGGAAUGCCUAGGACUACCACAGCCAAACUUCAUUCAUAAUGAGAAGCAAGAGCUUUGUCCACAGGCUGGACUCAUCUGAAGGCAAGCCUGAGCAAGAUAAGAGUGAUUAAUACAUUAAUUAAUACGUUGUUGAUAAAUAAGACAUAUUCUACAUAAAAUCUUUGAAAUAUUCGAAAUGUGUAUUUUAUCCUAAAAAGGAAAUUAAAAGUAAAACACAGCAAGACAUGUUGAAAGCAAAUCAUUUUAUCGAAAUCCCUUUUUAGAGGAUUAGUACACAUCUGUCCAGUUCUAUUGCAAAAUAGAAAACUACUAUCUGGUAAAUAUACACUACUCUACUUGUUUGAUGUCGACUGUAACCAAACACCAGGGAUAAUACUGUAUUUCCCAAACUCACAGUCAAUUCUUUUCUUUGUGUGAGUCUGAGUAGAUUACACAUACAAAAAUGUGCACAUUAUGUAGGCUUGAAGAUUAUAGUAGCACAUUCACAAAUUAAAUUUUGAGAUUUAACAUCAAAUUAAGAGCAAAUUCUUAAAAUCUGCCAGCAGUAGUAAAACCCCUUCUUUGGAGACAUUGUAUAUUUCACUUCAAAUUGAAAAAAAAAAAAAAAAAAUUUACACUGAAAAUUUCAGUUUUGUAGGAGUAGAGUUAAUUCCAUGAGUCACAUAGCUGACACACAACUCACAUAACCAAUCCUGUUCCUUGACUAUAAUACCACAUUACCUCCAACCUUUUGUAUCAUAAAAGUAAACAUUAUAAAAAGGCUAAAAAUGCUGCAGAAACAUAAAUGCAACAAGCAUCUUUGGAAUGUACAAAAACACAUGCAUUCAGUGUGGGUAACACACACAUACACACACACACACACACAUUUUGGAUCACGCACAUCCUGUUUGGGAUAAAUGUGAUCCUGUUUGUACAGUUUUUUCUUGCUUAUCUCUAUUACUGUUCAAAUGGAACAAGCCUUCAAUUUCACCCAUUAAUUUUUUUUCACCAAAAGAGCAGAUGGAAGAUAUGACCCUAAUUCUGAAAGCUUAUAUGUACAGUAUGUGAAAAAGAAUCACAUGCCCCAAGUAACAAGGGUGUUACCCUUCAAAGAUAACACUGGUCUCAGACCACAAUUAAAGUUUAAUGCGUUUUAUUUAUCAAAUAAAUUCUGAGCUUACCAGAUGUUCUAGUUUCACAACACUGUCCGUUUAAAGUUUGGACGGCGUUAUUUCACUUCAUUAUUUGCUUAACUGCUAAAGAGAGCCACAAUUUCCUUACAUCGUAAGGAUCUGGUCUCGCCCCUGACUCUGGAAAAUUUGAGUUAAUGGCUUAGGUAAAUAGCUUUAGGUUUGAUUCUUUGUUUGUGUUUGAUAUGGCUCCUCUGAGUCAAGGAUGUAUGUGUACUUAGCAAAAACUUUAAAUUAUUUGUCUUUAGUAAAUACACUUUAAAGCAAGUAUUAUACAGGGGGUCAAGCCAUGUGUUGUGGAUAUUAAUAUAAUGAGUUUAAAAAUAAAUUAAUUUCUGCAAAAAACUAUAACUCAGUUAUGAAUUGUGCAUUUUCACUUGUAAUCACAUGUCUGAAAGGAUACAAUAUGGCUAAUUAUAUAAUUAGAGGCUCUAUAUAAUUCUUAUUUGUUACUGUGAGGGUUUAUCAGACA
This is a long non-coding RNA of Anguilla rostrata (American eel), 2180 nucleotides long. RefSeq lists it as uncharacterized. The record is from RefSeq and is a predicted model, not a curated record. NCBI's taxonomy places the organism in Eukaryota, Metazoa, Chordata, Actinopteri, Anguilliformes, Anguillidae. The transcript has 7 exons.